Molecule: non-coding RNA, 2389 nt
Organism: Pelobates cultripes (western spadefoot toad)
Lineage: Eukaryota; Metazoa; Chordata; Amphibia; Anura; Pelobatidae
Source: the annotation of a GenBank genome assembly
AAAAAGGUUUUAAAUAUUUUUUAUUCUAAAUUAAAUUCACAUGGUGUUAUACAAAAAGAAAAAUCCACAAUCUAAAAAUGUUUACAAAAUAUACAAAACUUUACAGUGAUCAGUAAAAUUUUUAAUAUUAACAAGUUCAUGUCUACAGUAACCUUAAAAAGGCAUAAGAGAAAAGAAAAUAUUAGAGGUAAUCUAAACUCCCUAGAUUUUUUUUUUUUCACGGCAUACAAUCAGAUGGACGGACAACUCAAACAAACAUACAGCAUAAAAACAAAAAUUCUAAACGUUCAACAGAAAGUGUUAAGAGGAAUUGUGCAAAUAAACAUCUGCAUGAGGUCCUGUUUACGUAAUAUAUUUCAAUAUAACAAUUGUGACCUCCAGUGGUCAUCCUGUAGAAAUUAACCAUAAUAUUGCCUAUAUUUACCAGAAAAACAGACUAUUAUUAUUGAAGGUAGACAGGCUCUGAAUUAUGUUUUGGUUCACGUUAAUAUGGGUCCAUAAGAAAAACAAACAAAAAAAGUUUCCAGCUUUGAGUAGGAUCUAUCAUUGUGACAGUGCUUGUUCUCACUCAAGAAGAAUGUAGAUACAUUUUUGGAAACCAAGCAUUAAUAACAGAGUGAAACCAUGAACUUUGCACAGGCAUUUUGAAUAAGGCACAAACCCUGUUUAAAAGAGAUAAACUAGUGAAAGCAGCAGUACUCUCCUUGAUGGUAUAGAAUUGUUAUAUAAGUUUAGUCUAAUGUUUCUGGGGUAAAUAUGUCUUUGCUUGCCUGAACAAAACAAAUAUCACAUGUCACGAAAUAGGAGUCUCUUAGCUGUGAUAAAAUUGAGAAUGACCUUCCUUCGUAGACACAAUGAAUGUCGCUGUACUGCGGAAGACACUUAUGAAACCCCACCCUAACCCACGGGCGUGAGCCAUUUUCUUUCCUAUUAGGAGAUCCUCAAUUGUGGAUUGAAAUGAUGCUUCCUCUCCACAAACAGAAGGAUGAUUCCACAAGCACAUUUUUGGGGCUAUCAUGACCCUGAGUCUUGUUUAGAUAGCUUGACUUUUUUUACAUUAAAAAAUAAGAUUGGUGUACAGACAUUUUUUCUUAGUCUAAUAACAACAAAAAUAAUCUGAAAGACCAAAGAGGAAAAAAAUAAAAAAUAAAUAAAAAUCAGGCAGAGUAAUUAGAGUUUGCUUUAUGGGAAAUAAAAUCAGAGGUAGUCUACUGCACCAAAUAGACAUUUAAAAUGAGCUAAAAAUUAUGGAAAUUACACAGAAAUGAAAUUACACCGAUUAUGUGUAGCAGCCAACACGUAUCGCCAUUUUAAUUUGACUGGAUACUGAAGAGUUUAUAUGUCUGCGAAGUGACCUAAAAUAUUCUUAUCUAAUCUACUCAUAGCAAACUCAGGACAUAGUGAACUAAUAAACGUAAUUUUACUAUCAAAAGUUUGACAGAAUGAUUCAAGAAAUUCCAGUGCUUAUAAGGUCAAAACUACAGCAAUGUCUUCUUCAUGUCUUGCUUCAAGAAACAUGCACUACCACUAUCGAUGUAAAUACCUGAACACCUUAAUAAUAUAAAAUGGUGAACAUGGAGUACUAUAUUGAUAAUUUCAAAGAGUCAUACUGAAAUGAAUAGACAGUGUUUAAAAUGCAUUAACAGCCAUGGGAUUUUUUUUAUUCUGCACACUUAAAUGUGUGUAUUUGUAUAAUAUAUAUAUAUAUAUAUAUAUAUAUAUAUAUAUAUGUAUAUAAAAACAACAAAUAUAUAUGUAUUCCAAUUGAUGAUCCGCAUUCACAGGCUCCAGUUAAAAUGUAACUUUUAUUUCUUACAUUAAUAGAACGAUAGAGAUGCCAUAGAUUGUCAACGUUUCAGUCCUAGGUCGGGACUUUCCUCAGGAAAGUCCCAACCUGAGGAAAGUCCCGACCUGGGACUGAAACGUUGACAAUCUAUGGCAUCUAUAGCGUUCUUUUAAUAUAAGAAAUAAAAGUUACAUUUUAACUGGAGCCUGUGAGUGCGAAUCAUUAAUUGGAAUACAUUUGUAUAUGGAUGACCUGGAUCUGGCACCCAGCAUGUAACCCAUUGGAACUUACAACCUGCAGUGCAAGGAUCUGUGGAAUGUGUAGAUAUAAACAAAAGAAAAGAGAUGCACUCCAAGGACUUAAGUGAAAAAAGGGGUAAUUUAUUCCAAUAGGUAUUGCAUCAAAAUUGAGCCGACGUUUCGACCCAUUCGGGUCUUUCUCAAGCAUGGGUCAAAACGUCGGCUAAAUUUUGAUGCAAUACCUAUUGGAUAAAUUACCCCUUUUUUCACUUAUUAAGUCCUUGGAGUGCAUCUCUUUUCUUUUGUUUAUAUAUCUUCAAAUUGGAUUAUUUUACACGAAAGGGUGAGUGCCAAGAAAAUUUUU